GAGGCCUUAUUUGGGAGGUCUUAAGGGGGCUAACUCAAGGGCUUGGAUUGAAAUUAAGUCCAAGGGGUAAGAGUAUGUGAGAUAUGGAUGAGAUAUGGUUCAGUGAGUGCUUUCAUAUAUUGGAUGGAGCUAGAAAAAUUUUUGAUUAGGCCUAAUGAUUGUGCAUAAAUAUACAUAUGUUGUAUUAGGAUUUUUAUAACGUAAGUAGUGGAAUACAAGAUCUUUUCUCUCCCUCUUUGGUUCCAAUGCCAAACCCUAGCUUUCUUCUUUUUUUUUCUUUGUUGUUUGCUGGAGUAACAUCUAGAUUUCAUGCAAGGUGAUCCUGAUCAAGUACAAGGGUUGUAUCAGAGUUUCUCAACAUCUUCUUACAGUUUAAUCUCCUUAUUCUCUCUUUUUUUUUUUUGAAGUAAUAUUUACAUAUACAGUCGAUGCAAUGUCCUAAUCCCUUAAGCUUUUUAAUUGACUCUUAUAGCGAGUUUUAAGCCAAUAACUUCCAAACCAAUUGACUUUAGGAUAUUAGAUGUAGAACACCCCUCAGACUUACCGACUCGAGUCAAAAAGGCUACGAGUUAAGACUGACUCUAUAAGAGGUUUCUUCAUAUUAUCAUCUUUUGAUAUGAACAACAACGCUUCUUAGACGAAGAGAUCCAGUUACUCAGUGA
Molecule: long non-coding RNA, 662 nt
Filed under: Elaeis guineensis (African oil palm)
Lineage: Eukaryota; Viridiplantae; Streptophyta; Magnoliopsida; Arecales; Arecaceae
Description: long non-coding RNA (EGUI_LNC028059)
Source: RNAcentral